This 778-nucleotide ribosomal RNA is filed under the name uncultured Idiomarina sp. RNAcentral's name for it is "bacterial SSU rRNA". It matches the Rfam family "Bacterial small subunit ribosomal RNA", at positions 722 to 1493 of the family's 1533-position model. The record is from RNAcentral. Lineage: Bacteria; Pseudomonadati; Pseudomonadota; Gammaproteobacteria; Alteromonadales; Idiomarinaceae.
CGGCCACCUGGUCAGAAACUGACGCUGAGGUACGAAAGCGUGGGGAGCAAACAGUUAUUAGAUACCCUGGUAGUCCACGCCGUAAACGAUGUCAACUAGUUGUUCGUGUCAUAAACGAUGUGAGUAACGCAGCUAACGCACUAAGUUGACCGCCUGGGGAGUACGGCCGCAAGGUUAAAACUCAAAUGAAUUGACGGGGGCCCGCACAAGCGGUGGAGCAUGUGGUUUAAUUCGAUGCAACGCGAAGAACCUUACCAUCCCUUGACAUCCAGUGAAUUUUCUAGAGAUAGAUAAGUGCCUUCGGGAACACUGAGACAGGUGCUGCAUGGCUGUCGUCAGCUCGUGUUGUGAGAUGUUGGGUUAAGUCCCGCAACGAGCGCAACCCUUAUCCUUAGUUGCCAGCGCGUAAAGGCGGGAACUCUGGGGAGACUGCCGGUGAUAAACCGGAGGAAGGUGGGGACGACGUCAAGUCAUCAUGGCCCUUACGGGAUGGGCUACACACGUGCUACAAUGGCGCGUACAAUGGGAAGCUAACUCGCGAGAGUGUGCGGAUCUCAAAAAGCGCGUCGUAGUCCGGAUUGGAGUCUGCAACUCGACUCCAUGAAGUCGGAAUCGCUAGUAAUCGUGGAUCAGAAUGCCACGGUGAAUACGUUUCCCGGGCCUUGUACACACCGCCCGUCACACCAUGGGAGUGGGCUGCACCAGAAGUAGAUAGCUUAACCCUUCGGGAGGGCGUUUACCACGGUGUGGUUUCAUGACUGGGGGUGAAGUCGUAACA